This 644-nucleotide ribosomal RNA is filed under the name Paraburkholderia diazotrophica. RNAcentral's name for it is "bacterial SSU rRNA". It matches the Rfam family "Bacterial small subunit ribosomal RNA", at positions 344 to 981 of the family's 1533-position model. The record is from RNAcentral. Lineage: Bacteria; Pseudomonadati; Pseudomonadota; Betaproteobacteria; Burkholderiales; Burkholderiaceae.
GGAGGCAGCAGUGGGGAAUUUUGGACAAUGGGGGCAACCCUGAUCCAGCAAUGCCGCGUGUGUGAAGAAGGCCUUCGGGUUGUAAAGCACUUUUGUCCGGAAAGAAAGCUUCGGAGCUAAUACCUCUGGAGGAUGACGGUACCGGAAGAAUAAGCACCGGCUAACUACGUGCCAGCAGCCGCGGUAAUACGUAGGGUGCGAGCGUUAAUCGGAAUUACUGGGCGUAAAGCGUGCGCAGGCGGUGCUGUAAGACCGAUGUGAAAUCCCCGGGCUUAACCUGGGAACUGCAUUGGUGACUGCAGCGCUGGAGUAUGGCAGAGGGGGGUGGAAUUCCACGUGUAGCAGUGAAAUGCGUAGAGAUGUGGAGGAACACCGAUGGCGAAGGCAGCCCCCUGGGCCAAUACUGACGCUCAUGCACGAAAGCGUGGGGAGCAAACAGGAUUAGAUACCCUGGUAGUCCACGCCCUAAACGAUGUCAACUGGUUGUCGGGCCUUCAUUGGCUUGGUAACGUAGCUAACGCGUGAAGUUGACCGCCUGGGGAGUACGGUCGCAAGAUUAAAACUCAAAGGAAUUGACGGGGACCCGCACAAGCGGUGGAUGAUGUGGAUUAAUUCGAUGCAACGCGAAAAACCUUACCUACCCU